CGCAAGGGCCAGUCGAGCGGCGAACGGGUGAGUAACGCGUGGAUAACCUGCCCUGAGGUGGGGAAUAACCCGGGGAAACUCGGGCUAAUACCGCAUGAUACCGAGAGGUCAAAGCGGGGUCGCAAGAUCUCGUGCCACAGGAGGGGUCCGCGUUCGAUUAGCUAGUUGGUAGGGUAAUGGCCUACCAAGGCGACGAUCGAUAGCCGGCCUGAGAGGGUGAUCGGCCACACUGGAACUGAGACACGGUCCAGACUCCUACGGGAGGCAGCAGUGGGGAAUUUCGCGCAGUGGGGGAAACCCUGACGCAGCAACGCCGCGUGGAGGAUGAAGGUCUUUGGAUUGUAAACUCCUGUCAGCAGGGAAAAAGCGACCGAUGCUCAUACCACCGGGAGUUGAUUGUACCUGCAGAGGAAGCCCCGGCUAACUCUGUGCCAGCAGCCGCGGUAAUACAGAGGGGGCAAGCGUUA
Molecule: ribosomal RNA, 467 nt
Filed under: uncultured bacterium
Lineage: Bacteria
Description: bacterial SSU rRNA
Rfam family: Bacterial small subunit ribosomal RNA
Source: RNAcentral